CUUUUUUCUGGUUUUACCAAAGCCAGAUCUGUGUCUCUAUCAGCACAGAGGAAAAAAGUAAUUACUGAAGUAUUAGUGUGAUUAUUAUUUCCUGAUACGAAUUGCUGCAUUCCUUACUUGUAUCUGGUCCUUUCCCUGGGCUGGAGUUAGGAAAUUGAAAAACAAACUCACCUUGGACAAAGCCUGUAUUGAUUAUCUUUUAAUCUCGUUUGUGUUGGAGAAAGCUUUGAGAGUUUAACGAAAGAGGAAAAACCCUCUCCUUGAAGAAUUCACGUUUUCUCACACCUACAAAAUGGGACGUGAUUUCAAGAGAUUCACAAACCUCUUGAAGCCCCUGAGGACCCUUGAGGAAUCUGUGGACCCUGGUUGAGAACCUCUGGUCUAUACAGUCAAAAAUGAAAUGGGAGAACUGCUUGCUGAAAUUGGACAGUGACAAUUGUCUACUAAUUCUGCAGUACAUUUUGGGAGGUCAGAGUAAACCUGAAUUACAUUCGCCGUGUAGUUGCUCAAGCCUCUGCUAUGGCAUUGAUUCAGUGGGUGGACCUCAGCUUUCCCAAUGCCCACACCUCCAUGCCAACCCAAACAUACGCGAAGGUUCUAGAGAGAGGAGGAAGAGGAGCAGGAAAUCAUUUAAGACUUUUCAUUUUUCAAAGCUUUGCUGGGAUACCUACCCUUGA
This 677-nucleotide long non-coding RNA is filed under the name Ailuropoda melanoleuca (giant panda). RNAcentral describes it as "lncRNA (ENSAMEG00000024831.1)". The record is from RNAcentral. Lineage: Eukaryota; Metazoa; Chordata; Mammalia; Carnivora; Ursidae.